Molecule: ribosomal RNA, 503 nt
Filed under: uncultured bacterium
Lineage: Bacteria
Description: partial 16S ribosomal RNA
Rfam family: Bacterial small subunit ribosomal RNA
Source: RNAcentral
GAUGAACGCUAGCGGCAGGCCUAACACAUGCAAGUCGAGGGGCAGCACAGAAACAGCAAUGUUUUGGUGGCGACCAGCGGACGGGUGCGUAACGCGUAUGCAACCUACCUUUAACAGGGGGAUAACGGAGAGAAAUUUCCACUAAUACCCCAUAACAUCGAUCAAGGCAUCUUGAUUGGUUGAAAACUCCGGUGGUUAAAGAUGGGCAUGCGUUGUAUUAGGUAGUUGGUGAGGUAAUGGCUCACCAAGCCUACGAUACAUAGGGGGACUGAGGGGUUAGCCCCCCCACACUGGUACUGAGACACGGACCAGACUCCUACGGGAGGCAGCAGGGAGGAAUAUUGGUCAAUGGGGGCAACCCUGAACCAGCCAUGCCGCGUGCAGGAAGACGGCUCUAUGAGUUGUAAACUGCUUUUAAACAGGGAUAAAGCACAGUAUGUAUACUGUGUUGAAGGUACUGUAAGAAUAAGGAUCGGCUAACUCCGUGCCAGCAGCCGCCGUAA